UAUUGCAUACUGCAACCAUUAUUGUUUCACAAACCCAAUAACUCGGUUGCCCUUCCCAAGAAUGCAAUUUCAAAAAUUACCUAUUUCAGAAAUAUGAAGAGACUUUUCCUCUUAUCCUCAAAUCUCAUCUCGCCCCUCCCUCUAGCAAAAUUACAUAACCUUUCCAAAAAGUUUCAUUCUUCAUCUUCGACUUUCGGUGAGACUCGCCGCCGUAAAUGCUUCCAUCGCCGCGACUACAUCCCUCUCACGUCUCUCUCUCUCUCUCUUUCUUUUUUUCAAGCAACUUUUCGCGGCCAUUUGGUAUGUACGGUUCAUUGUCUCAAACUCAAUAACAAUGUAUAGAAAAAUAGAGUUUUCAUUGGCUGCUUAAAUUCUUCGGAGAUUUGGAGAUAUGGAGAUUUGUUAUUACUAUAUAGGAACUUGCUACUGUUUUGAAAUAAUUUGUGAUGAUCUGUUGUUUGAAUUCAGGCGAGGAGUGCAUUGAGAGGUCACGCGAGGCUAAGAUCAUUGAUAGAAGGGCAAUCAGUGAAACGCCAAGCAACGAGCACCUUAAAACUUUCUCUUCGGGAUCCAAUCCAAC
RNAcentral lists this long non-coding RNA (580 nucleotides) under Salvia miltiorrhiza (redroot sage). RNAcentral describes it as "long non-coding RNA (SMIL_LNC012336)". Lineage: Eukaryota; Viridiplantae; Streptophyta; Magnoliopsida; Lamiales; Lamiaceae. The record is from RNAcentral.